GCAGUCGAGGGGCAUCAUGAGGUAGCAAUACCUUGAUGGCGACCGGCGCACGGGUGAGUAACGCGUAUGCAACCUGCCCGAUACCGGGGUAUAGCCCAUGGAAACGUGGAUUAACACCCCAUAGUACUUUUAUCCUGCCUGGGAUGUGAGUUAAAUGUUCAAGGUAUCGGAUGGGCAUGCGUCCUAUUAGUUAGUUGGCGGGGUAACAGCCCACCAAGACGAUGAUAGGUAGGGGUUCUGAGAGGAAGGUCCCCCACAUUGGAACUGAGACACGGUCCAAACUCCUACGGGAGGCAGCAGUGAGGAAUAUUGGUCAAUGGACGUAAGUCUGAACCAGCCAAGUCGCGUGAGGGAAGACUGCCCUAUGGGUUGUAAACCUCUUUUAUAAGGGAAGAAUAAGUUCUACGUGUAGAAUGAUGCCUGUACCUUAUGAAUAAGCAUCGGCUAACUCCGUGCCAGCAGCCGCGGUAAUACGGAGGAUGCGAGCGUUAUCCGGAUUUAUUGGGUUU
Molecule: ribosomal RNA, 509 nt
Filed under: uncultured bacterium
Lineage: Bacteria
Description: bacterial SSU rRNA
Rfam family: Bacterial small subunit ribosomal RNA
Source: RNAcentral